GGAUGAGAAAGCAAUCUGACUGUGAUAUCUCUGAUCCCAGUGAUCAUCAGGGUUGAUCCAACUGAUCUAGCUGGCUAGGCAGCUGUCAUUACCACACUGUCAUUACCACACUCCUAACACUGUUCCAUGUACUUCCCUUCCUAGGCUGUGCAUUUGGUCAAAGAGGAUGGCCCUUCCAGGAUUGUAUCUUUUUCUAGCGAAGAGUACAUGAUUGCUCCUUUGGACGACUUCCAAACAAUGGCCGAGCAGCUGUUGCUUAGUGUAAGAAAACUUGUAACUUUCAGUCUGUUCUUAACUAGCAAAUAAAAAGGCCCAUCACAAUUCUUGGGGGCAUGUGAACAGGCCUCAAGUCAGCACGUGCAUGUGCCCCCAAG
Molecule: small RNA, 374 nt
Filed under: Pogona vitticeps (central bearded dragon)
Lineage: Eukaryota; Metazoa; Chordata; Lepidosauria; Squamata; Agamidae
Description: 7SK RNA (ENSPVIG00000013591.1)
Rfam family: 7SK RNA (bases 1-214)
About the family: 7SK was discovered as an abundant small nuclear RNA in the mid-70s but a possible function has only recently been suggested. Two independent studies have found that 7SK RNA binds the CDK9/cyclin T complex (known as elongation factor P-TEFb).
Source: RNAcentral